This 253-nucleotide ribosomal RNA is filed under the name uncultured bacterium. RNAcentral's name for it is "partial 16S ribosomal RNA". It matches the Rfam family "Bacterial small subunit ribosomal RNA", at positions 524 to 776 of the family's 1533-position model. The record is from RNAcentral.
UACGUAGGGGGCAAGCGUUGUCCGGAUUUACUGGGCGUAAAGGGCGCGUAGGCGGCGCGGUAAGUCACUUGUGAAAUCUCUGAGCUUAACUCAGAACGGCCAAGUGAUACUGCAGUGCUAGAGUGUGGAAGGGGCAAUCGGAAUUCUUGGUGUAGCGGUGAAAUGCGUAGAUAUCAAGAGGAACACCUGAGGUGAAGACGGGUUGCUGGGCCAACACUGACGCUGAGGCGCGAAAGCCAGGGGAGCAGACGGG